Molecule: ribosomal RNA, 342 nt
Filed under: uncultured Proteiniphilum sp.
Lineage: Bacteria; Pseudomonadati; Bacteroidota; Bacteroidia; Bacteroidales; Dysgonomonadaceae
Description: bacterial SSU rRNA
Rfam family: Bacterial small subunit ribosomal RNA
Source: RNAcentral
CUGCAUGGUUGUCGUCAGCUCGUGCCGUGAGGUGUCGGCUUAAGUGCCAUAACGAGCGCAACCUCAUCAUUAGUUACCAUCAGGUAAGGCUGGGGACUCCUAAUGAGACUGCCAUCGUAAGAUGUGAGGAAGGUGGGGAUGACGUCAAAUCAGCACGGCCCUUACGUCCGGGGCGACACACGUGUUACAAUGGGUGGUACAAAGGGCAGCUACCUGGCGACAGGAUGCUAAUCUCCAAAACCACUCUCAGUUCGGAUCGGAGUCUGCAACUCGACUCCGUGAAGCUGGAUUCGCUAGUAAUCGCGCAUCAGCCACGGCGCGGUGAAUACGUUCCCGGGCCUU